This 497-nucleotide ribosomal RNA is filed under the name uncultured bacterium. RNAcentral describes it as "partial 16S ribosomal RNA". It matches the Rfam family "Bacterial small subunit ribosomal RNA", at positions 28 to 507 of the family's 1533-position model. The record is from RNAcentral.
GAUGAACGCUGGCGGCGUGCCUAAUACAUGCAAGUCGAGCGAACGGACGAGAAGCUUGCUUCUCUGAUGUUAGCGGCGGACGGGUGAGUAACACGUGGAUAACCUACCUAUAAGACUGGGAUAACUUCGGGAAACCGGAGCUAAUACCGGAUAAUAUUUUGAACCGCAUGGUUCAAAAGUGAAAGACGGUCUUGCUGUCACUUAUAGAUGGAUCCGCGCUGCAUUAGCUAGUUGGUAAGGUAACGGCUUACCAAGGCAACGAUGCAUAGCCGACCUGAGAGGGUGAUCGGCCACACGGGAACUGAGACACGGUCCAGACUCCUACGGGAGGCAGCAGUAGGGAAUCUUCCGCAAUGGGCGAAAGCCUGACGGAGCAACGCCGCGUGAGUGAUGAAGGUCUUCGGAUCGUAAAACUCUGUUAUUAGGGAAGAACAUAUGUGUAAGUAACUGUGCACAUCUUGACGGUACCUAAUCAGAAAGCCCCGGCUAACUACGUG